GGGGGUAUACCUCAGCAGUAGAGCACGUGCUUAGCAGGCACGAGGUCCUGGGUUCAAUCCCAGUACCUCCA
RNAcentral lists this transfer RNA (71 nucleotides) under Camelus bactrianus (Bactrian camel). It matches the Rfam family "tRNA". From Rfam's summary of the family: Transfer RNA (tRNA) molecules are approximately 80 nucleotides in length. RNAcentral also lists the same sequence under 2 other names. The record is from Rfam by way of RNAcentral. Lineage: Eukaryota; Metazoa; Chordata; Mammalia; Artiodactyla; Camelidae.